CCUACGGGAGGCAGCAGUGAGGAAUAUUGGUCAAUGGGCGGAAGCCUGAACCAGCCAAGUAGCGUGCGGGAUGAAGGCCCUACGGGUCGUAAACCGCUUUUGCACGGGGAUAACACCAUCCACUUGUGGAGGUCUGCAGGUACCGUGCGAAUAAGGGCCGGCUAAUUCCGUGCCAGCAGCCGCGGUAAUACGGAAGGCCCGAGCGUUAUCCGGAUUCAUUGGGCUUAAAGGGAGCGUAGGCGGGCGUUCAAGUCAGCUGUAAAAUUGCGCGGCUCAACCGCGCCCCGCAGUUGAAACUGGACGCCUUGAGUUCACAACAGGCAGGCGGAAUUCGUGGUGUAGCGGUGAAAUGCAUAGAUAUCACGAGGAACCCCGAUUGCGAAGGCAGCCUGCCGGGGUGCGACUGACGCUGAGGCUCGAAGGUGCGGGUAUCAAACAGGAUUAGAUACCCCAGUAGUC
RNAcentral lists this ribosomal RNA (459 nucleotides) under uncultured bacterium. RNAcentral describes it as "partial 16S ribosomal RNA". It matches the Rfam family "Bacterial small subunit ribosomal RNA", at positions 338 to 795 of the family's 1533-position model. The record is from RNAcentral.